RNAcentral lists this ribosomal RNA (115 nucleotides) under uncultured bacterium. Its description in RNAcentral is "partial 16S ribosomal RNA". It matches the Rfam family "Bacterial small subunit ribosomal RNA", at positions 1367 to 1482 of the family's 1533-position model. The record is from RNAcentral.
UACGUUCCCGGGCCUUGUACACACCGCCCGUCACACCACGAAAGUCGGUAACACCCGAAGCCGGUGGCCAACCUUGUGGAGGGAGCCGUCGAAGGUGGGAUCGGCGAUUGGGGUG